CACCUUAGCUAUACGUCUCUCGGCUAUAAAUAACGCCAAGUGAGCAUAGCUCAUCAUCAUUUCAUUUGCAUACCGAAAAAUCAAGAAUAGGAAAGAAAUGGGAAGAGUUAUGAAUAUAUGUGUGGUUGUUUUAUUAUGUUUAAUAGGUGGUGCAAUUGCUGAGCAAUGUGGUAGGCAAGCAGGUGGCAAGCUCUGUCCUAAUAACCUAUGUUGUAGCCAGUAUGGGUGGUGUGGCAGUAGUGAUGACUAUUGUUCACCCUCCAAAAACUGCCAGAGCAAUUGCAAAGGCGGCGGCGGAGGUGGAGGUGGCGGUGG
RNAcentral lists this unclassified non-coding RNA (315 nucleotides) under Hevea brasiliensis (rubber tree). Lineage: Eukaryota; Viridiplantae; Streptophyta; Magnoliopsida; Malpighiales; Euphorbiaceae. The record is from RNAcentral.